RNAcentral lists this long non-coding RNA (1486 nucleotides) under Sus scrofa (pig). RNAcentral's name for it is "lncRNA (ENSSSCG00040031728.1)". Lineage: Eukaryota; Metazoa; Chordata; Mammalia; Artiodactyla; Suidae. The record is from RNAcentral.
CCUGUACUCUCUAGACCGCUCACCCGCCUGAUCUCUAUGGUCUCCGUCUGCGCAUGUGCGGCGUAGGCCCCACCUCUUCUUUUCCUCCCGCGCGGGCCACGUGAGGAGAUUCUGGAGCCUUCAAGUUGUCCCCCGUGCGCAAGCAGCAGGACGAGGCCCAGGACUUUUCGGGCCUGCACGUUUGCUGAGAGUGGUGUUCUUGUGGCGGGGGCGGAAGGUGGACGUCUUAGGAAGCCUUGCGACCCAGUCGGGACCCCCACAGGGACUCCGCAGUGCCUGGGGAUGGCCUGGACCUCGCCCGGGAAAGCUGACACUUCACAGGCCUCUCUAAUGUCUGAAGUGCUCCAGAAAAUGAAUCUAUUUGAGGUGAGCUCUUUCUCCUCCUCUUUGUGCUGUGAUGGAUUUCACCUUUUUUUUUUUUUUUUGUAUUUUGUCUUUUCAGGGCUGUACCUGUGGAUUGUGGAGGUUUCCAGGCUAGGGGUCUAGUCAGAGCUACAGAUGCUAGUCUACACCACAGCCCCAGCAAUGCCAGAUCCAAGCCGAAUCUGUGACCUAUACCACAGCUCAUGACAACUCCAGGUUCUUUAACUCACUGAGCGAGGCCAGGGAUUGAACCCGCAACCUCAUGGAUCCUAGUCGGAUUCGCUUGCGCUGCGCCACGAUGGGGACUCUGGAUUUCACUUUUGAUUUCCGAUUGUUCUCAUCCUUUAUGAAUGAAAAUUAUUUACAAUUUAUAAUCAGUUUGCUGAGAUUUUAUUUGAGACAUGGAGGUACUCGGAAAUAAUUAUAUUGAAUUCUUUUUUGCAUUUGUUGGAGUAAAGGUGUAUAGCAGCUUACUUUUGUUUUAACGUUGUAACUGCCAUCUUUUUGUGAAUAUAUUUUAAUUUUUCUUCAAAUUGUAUUGACCAAGUCGGUUUGCCUAUAAUUGUGUUUUCUUGUGUCCCUGCCCAACUGUGAUAUGUUGAUUAUACUAGCUUUAUUGGGGCACUUUCCUGCUCUUUUUUCUUCUCCUCUCCCCCUCCUCCCUUCCUCUUGCUUUUUCCUACCCUGCCUUCUCUCAUUCAUAUAAGAAAAUAACCUAUUACAAAUUUCAUGAAACUCAGCCCUAACAUUGGACUUUGUGAGUACAUCUGCUUUUUAUGUGUAAAUACAGAUUAUUGAGUCACUUUAUUUAAGCAAUCCUGGGUGUAGUCUUGUAUUUUAAUUAUUUUUUUUAUUCAUCUUUGGAUGUUUAGGGCCACACCCACAGCAUAUGGAUGUUCUCAGGCUAGGGAUCAAAUCACGGUUGUAGCUGCCAGCCUACUCCACUGCGACAGCAAUGCCAGAUUUGUAACCCAUGGAGCAGGGGCAGGGAUUGAACCUGCAUCUUCAUGGAUGCUAGUUGGAUUUGUUGUCACUGAGCCAUGAUGGGAAGUCCUCUAUUUUUUAUUAUUACCACAUUUUCAGAGAAAAUUGUACACUCUUAUCUGCUAGGAAAUGUAUUUUC